Molecule: small RNA, 850 nt
Filed under: Pongo abelii (Sumatran orangutan)
Lineage: Eukaryota; Metazoa; Chordata; Mammalia; Primates; Hominidae
Description: processed transcript
Source: RNAcentral
UGGCGCUCUCCAGGGUCUUCAAAGCUUCACCUUUCUCCAAAGGCAGAUGUGAAGAACUUGAUGUCUUAUGUCGUAACCAAGACAAAAGCCAUUAAUGGGAAAUACCAUCGUUUCUUGGGUCGUCAUUUCCCCCGCUUCUAUGUCCUGUACACAAUCUUCAUGAAAGAAAGCCUUGAGCCGGGCCAUGCUUCUCACAUCUUACCUGCCUCCUCCCUUGUUGAGACAUCGUUUGAAGACUCAUACAACUGUGAUUCACCAACUGGACAAGGCUUUGGCAAAGCUGGGGAUUGGCCAGCUGACUGCUCAGGAAGUAAAAUCGGCUUGUUAUCUCCGUGGCCUGAAUUCUACGCAUAUUGGUGAAGAUAGGUGUCGAACUUGGCUGGGAGAAUGGCUGCAGAUUUCCUGCAGCCUGAAAGUAGAGACCAGGUUUCUCCAUGUUGGUCAGGCUGAUCUCAAACUCCCGACCUCAGGUGAUCCGCUGGCCUCGGCCUCCCAAAGUUUUGGGAUCACUGGCGUGAGCCACCAUGCCCAGCCUAUCCUGUUCUUUAUAGAAGCUGAGCUGUCUCUCUUGCUGCACAACGUGGUCCUGCUCUCCACCAACUACCUUGGGACAAGGCGCUGAAUGAACCGUGGAGCGGAUGGCAUUGUCCUGCAGUUGCAUAAUAUAGCAGUGCAGGAACAGACAGCACUUGCCAGCAAAGUCUGUGUGUACUGUUAAGUGUGUGGGAGGCGGAGAGAGGAGCAGGGGCCAUGGGCUUCACAGCAUGGCACACAUGUGGGAACUGCAGACAUUCCCCUCACAGCUAGAACUGAAACAAACCCUCUUGCCAGGGGUGGCCCGUGUGAGAUG